CAGAUGAAUUGAUGUAAAAAAAUCUACUCAGUAAGGUACAGGAAUAUAUUCACAGAGAUAUGUCACCUCAAACAACAUAUAUAAGCCAGCAAACAGCAAUUGUGUGGGCUCUGUACAAGACAUGGAACUCUACCACCUCUUCCAGCCCUGGCUGCAUUCAGCCCAACAUCAUGCAGUUCAGAUCACAGUGCAGAAGGACCGCAAGAAGAGCUAGGCUGGUGGACUCCAUCCCCUCAUCUGGGAGCUUCAGAUGCAUGCUUUUUGGAGUAUUCAAGCUCUGGAAAAAGACAUGAAGGACAACUAAAACUGCACGUUUGCCAAUUAGUCCUUCCAACUGUCUGUACCCAAAGAGGAAACAGACGGGUGUCUGUAGAAAGGUGAAGAUGAAACUGACACUCUUGUCAUCACAACUCCAUUUUCUGUUUGAGAAGACUAGAAUACAAAUUCGUAUCUUCCACUUUUUUUUUUUUUCCAGUUGAAUCAUCCAUACCCUGUGGGAAAUCAAAU
Molecule: long non-coding RNA, 507 nt
Organism: Tympanuchus pallidicinctus (lesser prairie-chicken)
Lineage: Eukaryota; Metazoa; Chordata; Aves; Galliformes; Phasianidae
Exons: 3
Source: RefSeq, a predicted model, not a curated record